AGAGUUUGAUCAUGGCUCAGAACGAACGCUGGCGGCAGGCCUAACACAUGCAAGUCGAACGAAGCCUUCGGGCUUAGUGGCGGACGGGUUAGUAACGCGUGGGAACGUGCCCUUCACUACGGAAUAGUCCUGGGAAACUGGGUUUAAUACCGUAUACGCCCUUCGGGGGAAAGAAUUUCGGUGAAGGAUCGGCCCGCGUCUGAUUAGGUAGUUGGUGGGGUAAUGGCCUACCAAGCCGACGAUCAGUAGCUGGUUUUAGAGGAUGAUCAGCCACACUGGGACUGAGACGCGGCCCAGACUCCUACGGGAGGCAGCAGUGGGGAAUCUUGGACAAUGGGGGCAACCCUGAUCCAGCCAUGCCGCGUGAGUGAUGAAGGCCCUAGGGUCGUAAAGCUCUUUCGCCUGUGAUGAUAAUGACAGUAGCAGGUAAAGAAACCCCGGCUAACUCCGUGCCAGCAGCCGCGGUAAUACGGAGGGGGUUAGCGUUGUUCGGAAUUACUGGGCGUAAAGCGCGCGUAGGCGGACUAUUAAGUCAGGGGUGAAAUCCCGGGGCUCAACCCCGGAACUGCCCUUGAUACUGGUAGUCUUGAGUUCGAGAGAGGUGAGUGGAAUUCCGAGUGUAGAGGUGAAAUUCGUAGAUAUUCGGAGGAACACCAGUGGCGAAGGCGGCUCACUGGCUCGAUACUGACGCUGAGGUGCG
This 700-nucleotide ribosomal RNA is filed under the name uncultured bacterium. Its description in RNAcentral is "bacterial SSU rRNA". It matches the Rfam family "Bacterial small subunit ribosomal RNA", at positions 8 to 755 of the family's 1533-position model. The record is from RNAcentral.